Ooceraea biroi (clonal raider ant) is the source of this 650-nucleotide long non-coding RNA. RefSeq lists it as uncharacterized. The record is from RefSeq and is a predicted model, not a curated record. NCBI's taxonomy places the organism in Eukaryota, Metazoa, Arthropoda, Insecta, Hymenoptera, Formicidae.
AAAUUGCCGACGAUAAUGGUGUUACUCCAUUUUACACCCGCAUUUCAUGUGAAUUUUCCGUUUAAUUAUUACCGUAAAGCCCGGCGCGUACGUAUAACGUUAAAAUCACGCAUGAUAAAACAAGAGCAUUUUAUGAAACUAUUACAAUAUUAGAUAUAUAUUCGCGCGAGAUUUACAAACUAUAAACAUUACGUAAUUUUAUAGGAUAAAUUUGAUGAGAUAUUGGAAGAAAAUUAAAGGCAAGUCCGUUGCAGAUUUUACGAGCUAAAAGCUGCUGAUAGUGCAACUCAAAAGCAGCAUCCACAAACCUUCAGGAAUCCAAGAGAAAAUUUAAAUAUUCAGCAAAAGAGAAAAUGCGGAUCUAGUCAUGUUGAGAUAUAAAGUUAAAAUUCUCAAUUCGUAAAGACACUCAGAAUCAUCGAAUUCAAGAGUUUGGAAACCAAACGCACGCACAGCAAGAAUCUUAUGCAACUUUGACUCAUAGAAUAAAAAUAUAACUUUGAAUCAUAAAUAAAAAUAUAUACAAAAGAUAUAAAUUCUCCGUUGCGCUAUUUAGUUAUUAUAUUUUAGCCAAUUUACAUAAAUUAAACAUUGUAAUUAUUAUUAUAACUUCCAUCCUCUUAUAUUACGAUGCAAUGUAAAAUUAGAUC